Molecule: small RNA, 1164 nt
Filed under: Pan troglodytes (chimpanzee)
Lineage: Eukaryota; Metazoa; Chordata; Mammalia; Primates; Hominidae
Description: retained intron
Source: RNAcentral
AGUUCCCCAGCUCCAGCCGCCGUCGCUGCUCCCUGUGUAGUUGCAGCCGCUGCCGCCUCCCGCCAGCUCGCCUCGGGGAACAGGACGCGCGUGAGCUCAGGCGUCCCCGCCCCAGCCUUCCUCGGAACCAUGAACCCCAACUGCGCCCGGUGCGGCAAGAUCGUGUAUCCCACGGAGAAGGUGAACUGUCUGGAUAAGUUCUGGCAUAAAGCAUGCUUCCAUUGCGAGACCUGCAAGAUGACACUGAACAUGAAGAACUACAAGGGCUAUGAGAAGAAGCCCUACUGCAACGCACACUACCCCAAGCAGUCCUUCACCAUGGUGGCGGACACCCCGGAAAACCUUCGCCUCAAGCAACAGAGUGAGCUCCAGAGUCAGGUGCGCUACAAGGAGGAGUUUGAGAAGAACAAGGGCAAAGGUUUCAGCGUAGUGGCAGACACGCCCGAGCUCCAGAGAAUCAAGAAGACCCAGGACCAGAUCAGUAACGUGAGCUCUUGCCCUGCCCUGCGGCAUCCCUGCUGCCCUCUGUUUGGUCUCCUUCCUGCCAGCCUGGCAGACGCAAGCCUGGCAGAUGUGAAUGAGGCCAGUGCCUCCACUGCCCCUGCCCUCCAGGGUGGGCCUGGGGAAGAGCUUGGGGUUCCCAGAUGCCUCUUCUCUGUGUACCCCCAGACCAGCACGCAUAGCAUUUUCUUCUUGAAGGGACUGUAUUCUGUGGGGGCCUGUGUGCUAAAUCAGCCCCCACUCUCUCUGACUGUUGUUCUUUUUUCUGGAUAUCGUGGGUAUCGGUGAAGACUGCACGUCUCAUCUUAGCACAAAGGUCAAAACUGGGGGGCGGGGAGCACCUGGCCUCCCCUGGUCUGCGCCUGGGUGCUGACAUUGCAGUCAUUUCCGCCCUUCCUUGGCCUCCUCCCCCACAUCAGCCUGCUCUUCCUUCCUGUGUAAAAACCCCAGCCAGCUUCACCCGCCAGCCCUGCACCCCCUGGCUCACACCCCCCGCCUCCCUGAUGGUCAGUGGCAUCUGGCUGUGGCAGGGGUGGGCAUGGAGAGUGGGCAGGGGAUCAACUGUCCCCAGCAUCGUGUGCCCUCCAUGGCACCUGUGGCCAGAGAACAGGCCUCAGUUUCCUGCUUGGCAGAGCCACAGGCAAGCAGCCUGUGUGGCUUUAG